UACAGAGGUCCCGAGCGUUGUUCGGAUUCAUUGGGCGUAAAGGGCGCGUAGGCGGCCUUCUAAGUCGAACGUGAAAUCCCCGGGCUCAACCCGGGAACUGCGUCCGAUACUGGAAGGCUUGAAUCCGGGAGAGGGAUGCGGAAUUCCAGGUGUAGCGGUGAAAUGCGUAGAUAUCUGGAGGAACACCGGUGGCGAAGGCGGCAUCCUGGACCAACACUGACGCUGAGGAGCGAAAGCCAGGGGAGCAAACGGG
RNAcentral lists this ribosomal RNA (253 nucleotides) under uncultured bacterium. RNAcentral describes it as "partial 16S ribosomal RNA". It matches the Rfam family "Bacterial small subunit ribosomal RNA", at positions 524 to 776 of the family's 1533-position model. The record is from RNAcentral.